Molecule: long non-coding RNA, 1139 nt
Filed under: Calidris pugnax (ruff)
Lineage: Eukaryota; Metazoa; Chordata; Aves; Charadriiformes; Scolopacidae
Description: lncRNA (ENSCPUG00000017569.1)
Source: RNAcentral
AUGGGGAGUGAUGGAUGCUCCGUGCCAAGGGCUCAGGGCUCAGCCCCACAAAGAGUUUACUUUGUCUCUCUCCCUCUCUCUCUCUCUCUCUCUCCUCCUCUCCCACUUCUUGUCAUACCAGAUGGUUGUGCAAUGGUAAUUUGGUGCCAUUAGGCGGCGCAGAAUUUGAAAAAAAAAAAAAAAAUUAAAAAAAAAAAAAAAAAAAAAAAAGAAAAAAGAAAAAAGAAUAAAGAGAAUUUAAAAAAAAAAAAAGACAUUAAAAUGGAGGAAAGGAAAAGAAAUAAGUUAUUUUCAAAACCUUUAUAUUCUCAUGUUGUGGAGGGUUCUAUAAAGUUUUUCAUCAAAGCUUGGCUUCAAGGAAACAAGAAAAAAAUUCUUGAAGGCGAUGGCGGCGUGGGCCCCGUUAUCGCCGACAUUGUCCUUGGCGCGGGGCCGGCGACGACCUUGUUGGUGGGCAAGGAGGGAAUUUGGCGGGAACUUUUUCAAACGGCGUGACGUCGCUCCGGCGGGCCCCCGAGGCAUUGUGGGAGUUGUAGUUCCCCCGCCGGAAAAGGGGGCCCGCCAUCGAGCCCUCAGGGGAUGUGCGCCGCCUUCUCACCUACCUUCUCUUCUUCCCCCCCACCCCUUUGAAAAGAGGAAUGAGGCGGGAAAAAAAAAAUAUAUAAAAAAGGGAAUUCAGCACCGGGAUGAGGAAUUUGGGGCGAUAACNNNNNNNNNNNNNNNNNNNNNNNNNNNNNNNNNNNNNNNNNNNNCCCCAGGACAGGGGGCGGCGGGUCCGGGCCGAAGCCCCGCGGGUGGGGUGGCGAUGGCGGCGUGGGCCCCGUUAUCGCCGACAUUGUCCUUGGCGCGGGGCCGGCGACGACCUUGUUGGUGGGCAAGGAGGGAAUUUGGCGGGAACUUUUUCAAACGGCGUGACGUCGCUCCGGCGGGCCCCCGAGGCAUUGUGGGAGUUGUAGUUCCCCCGCCGGAAAAGGGGGCCCGCCAUCGAGCCCUCAGGGGAUGUGCGCCGCCUUCUCACCUACCUUCUCUUCUUCCCCCCCACCCCUUUUUUUGUUUCUUUUUUGUUUUUUUUUUAACAGGCUCCAGCGGAAGGGGAGGCGAAGGAGGAGCCAAAGAGAAGGUCAGCUAGACUAUCCGCU